GUUAUAAACUGUACUUCUGGGCUGGAACGUUGCCAGUCUUUCUGCCUGCUACUGGAGGCUGGAACGGGACAACAGAGCAGGAUGUACAGUCAGCUACUGGCAUCUUCUGAAAACAGGCUUUCUUUUUGAGUAUUCUUUGUGGAGGCAAAGGCCGGUCCUACUCAGCAGUGUCCUGUGAGAAAACACCUGUGAGAAUUAGGUGACUGAGAUCAUAGAAUUGUUAAGGUCACCACAUCCAACCAGCAGCCCAUCUCACCAUGCCCACUGACCACGUCACCCCAGUGCCACAUCCACACGGUUCUUGAGCACCUCCAGGUGUGGUGACUGCACCACCUCCCUGGGCAGCCCGUGCCCCUGCAGCACCACUCUUUAUGAGAAGUUUUUCCUAACAGUCAACCUGAGCCUUCCCUGGCACAAAUAGACAUAAAUAAUCACUACUGGAUAGUCCCUGGGUCAAGCUGAGGGAACCACACACAUCAAGGGAACAGAGCUGUGCAUGUGAAAGUGUCACUAGUGCGCCAUGUGCUCACUGUCCUACCCAUACCCCCACCCUGCCCACCCAGUCCCAAAUCUGCCCUUAUGAAGAAGGCCACUGUUUGCAGACAUAUCAGCCCCUUUCGGGCCCUUUCACAGAGGUCCAGAGUUGAGGCAGCCUCCAGGUAAUGUGCAGAAAUAACCUUCAGUCCUCUGGGAAAGAAGACUUGCUCCUUUUGGCACCUGGAGGUAAACUCCGUGAAAGCUUGGGUUUGCUGAGUGUGUUUUAUGUGCUUGUACUAGGUCUGUCACAGAUUGCCCACAGCUGUUGCAAGACCACGUGCUUCACAGGCCACAGGUUCUUCCUGCUUUCUAACCACAUAUGCAAAGGCCAUCUGCUCCGUUUACCACAGCCUUUCACAGCUGCCAGCACAGAGGAAUUCCAAAGCAGGGCCGGUGCCUCUGUGUGCAUUUCAAGAGCUUUCCUCUACAUCAUUUGACCAACUCUUCAAGAGACCACGCAGUAAUGACAAAAACAUGCAAUUAUCUUUCAUCACCUGAUUUGCCCAUUUUACUGAGAUCAUUGAGAGUGGCUCCAUGUUCAGUUUUGGUCUACUUGUCAAAGAUUCAGCAAGAAAUCCAUGAGAUAAUGGUGGUUACUACAUUCAGAAAAUUAAGAAGUUGUAUCCUCCUUUUCUCCAGAAAUAUCCGCCUAUUCUCCAGAAUCAUAAUG
Molecule: long non-coding RNA, 1207 nt
Organism: Gallus gallus (chicken)
Lineage: Eukaryota; Metazoa; Chordata; Aves; Galliformes; Phasianidae
Source: Ensembl